CCUAAUCUUGCUUAUCUAUAAUGCUUAGCCCCUUUAUAGACAUCUUCCUGAUGUCAAGCGUGACAAGAAAGUAAUUAAAAUGGAGAACUUCCCAUAUAUGUUUUAGAAAUGAAUUGGGAAGCCCUUGAAUCACUGGUCUUGCAUGAUCUAGCGCUUUACCACUCCCUGCUUUAAGGGGAGACUCUCUGUUUGGAAGUCUGAUCAGGUUGCAAUCUACAAAAUCACAGCUCUGGAAAGAACUCCCUAUUCGAUAUGCAUCCAUAGAGACAUGAGUAUAUUAUUCCUUCCAAAGUCAGCUGCAAUUGAAGCUCACUAAAUUGACUCCACAUCUUCCUAUCUCAGGCAGUGACAGAGGAAUAGCAAGUAUUUUUUACUAAAAUGCUCUUUUUUAACCAACCCCUUUUUUGAAGAUUUCUCUAUCAUUGAUGCAGAGGACAUGAUCUUUACUUCAUAGAAGAUGGCAGAACACCAGCAAAUCAGUGUUUGAGUCCAGGGGCUGCUGUCAGUGCAUCAAAUGCUUAUCCAGCAACUGUGUCUUUUGCCAGCAAUGUCAUGCAGAGUUGAGGACAGAAUUUAUUGUAAAUGUUGAAACCUUCUUGGCAAAAUAAUAUAAACCAGCAUCUGCAGCUCGAUGGACCUUUCAAGCCCUCCCAAGGAUUUGCCUUAUGGAUACCGUGGCUGGUGUAUCGCCCUUUGCUCCUUACAGACAUAGUCCAAAUAGCCAUCCACAAAUACCAAAUGCCUACAGGCUAGGCAUUUUAUAUUGGUUGAUCCCUAGAUUUAUUUAAGGUCGUUCUCCUUAUUUUUCCUUUUUCUACCUCUAGUUAAUAUUCUUUUGCUGCAUUUUAGUCAUCUGGGAAACCAUUUUUAUAAAAAAGAAGGCUAAUAAUAUUGCUACUUAAGGGAAAGAGUUUAUUACCCCAAAGCCUCAGAAAAGCCUGACUUAUCCUAUAGGAAGCUGGUAAAAAUGAGAAAAAAUUUCUGCUUGGUUUCUCAAAAAGAUUCAAAAAGGAAAAGUUAAAGAGCUUCUUUGAAUAAAGAGCAAGCAAGCAUAGAAAAAAAAUCAAAGCUGAGAUAAAGUCAGAUACAAAUAUAGCUAAAAUAAGGAAAUAGUAUAAGAAAAAAUAUAAUAUAAAAAUGUAAAUUUGCUUUGAUAUUGAUUAUAGACAGCAUAAAUAAUUUCUAAAUUCAUAUCUAUGCUAUGAAAGACACAGGAGAUACCCAUUCAGAAGCAGAGUAAAAAAUGCAGAGGUAAUAAAAAAUAUGAACGGCUUAUAUGCGAAGUCAGACUUGGAUAGUAAUUUUCCAAAUUCAGAAACCAGGGCAGUAUGAGGGAAGCAAUAGUCAUGGAUCUAACAGACAAAACUUUUCUGAGUAAAGAAAAAUCAUGACUCAAAGUGAAUUACCAGGGUCUAGGCAAAAUUAGUUAGAAGAACCUACAUCUAAAUCUGGAGUAGGAAAUGGCAACCCACUCCAGUAUUCUUGCCUGGGAAAUCCCAUUGACAGAAGGGCCUGGUGGGCUAUAGUCCAUGGGGUUACAAAGAGUUGGACAUGACUGAUCAACUAAGCAACCACAUCUAAAUGAACAGUAAUUAUUUUUAAAACUUA
Molecule: long non-coding RNA, 1608 nt
Organism: Bos grunniens (domestic yak)
Lineage: Eukaryota; Metazoa; Chordata; Mammalia; Artiodactyla; Bovidae
Source: Ensembl